GACGAACGCUGGCGGCGUGCUUAACACAUGCAAGUCGAACGGAAAGGCCCUGCUUGCAGGGUGCUCGAGUGGCGAACGGGUGAGUAACACGUGGGUGAUCUGCCCCUUACUUUGGGAUAAGCCUGGGAAACUGGGUCUAGUACUGGAUAGGACCAUGCUGUAGGUGGUGUGGUGGAAAGAUUAGUUUCGGUAAGGGAUGAGCUCGCGGCCUAUCAGCUUGUUGGUGGGGUAAUGGCCUACCAAGGCGUCGACGGGUAGCCGGCCUGAGAGGGUGGACGGCCACAUUGGGACUGAGAUACGGCCCAGACUCCUACGGGAGGCAGCAGUGGGGAAUAUUGCACAAUGGGCGCAAGCCUGACGCAGCGACGCCGCGUGGGGGAUGACGGCCUUCGGGUUGUAAACUCCUUUCAGCCAUGACGAAGCCCUUGUGGUGACGGUAGUGGUAGAAGAAGCACCGGCUAACUACGUG
Molecule: ribosomal RNA, 469 nt
Filed under: uncultured bacterium
Lineage: Bacteria
Description: partial 16S ribosomal RNA
Rfam family: Bacterial small subunit ribosomal RNA
Source: RNAcentral